Long non-coding RNA from Oncorhynchus keta (chum salmon), 607 nucleotides. RefSeq lists it as uncharacterized. The transcript has 5 exons. NCBI's taxonomy places the organism in Eukaryota, Metazoa, Chordata, Actinopteri, Salmoniformes, Salmonidae. The record is from RefSeq and is a predicted model, not a curated record.
GAGCAGACCUGGUGAUCAUAAACAGUGAUAAGGAACAGAAGUUUCUCUUCAACUUCAACAAGGGAGUCUGGAUUGGUCUGACUGACUCUGUUACUGAGGGGACCUGGAAAUGGGUGGACGGUACCCCACUGACCAACCCAAGGUAAUAUACUACUGCUCUAAUAACACUGACCACCCCAAGGUAAUAUACUACUGCUCUAAUAACACUGACCACCCCAAGGUAAUAUACUACUGCUCUAAUAACACUGACCACCCCAAGGUAAUAUACUACUGCUCUAAUAACACUGACCACCCCAAGGUAAUAUACUACUGCUCUAAUAACACUGACCACCCCAAGGUAAUAUACUACUGCUCUAAUAACACUGACCACCCCAAGGUAAUAUACUACUGCUCUAAUAACACUGACCACCAAGGUAAUAUACUACUGCUCUAAUAACACUGACCACCCCAAGGUAAUAUACUACUGCUCUAAUAACACUGACCACCCCAAGGUAAUAUACUACUGCUCUAAUAACACUGACCACCCCAAGGUAAUAUACUACUGCUCUAAUAACACUGACCACCCCAAGGUAAUAUACUACUGCUCUAAUAACACUGACCACCAAGG